RNAcentral lists this small RNA (803 nucleotides) under Pan troglodytes (chimpanzee). Its description in RNAcentral is "retained intron". The record is from RNAcentral. Lineage: Eukaryota; Metazoa; Chordata; Mammalia; Primates; Hominidae.
GUCUGGGCAAGGGGCAGUUGGUGAACCUGCUGCCUCCAGAGAACCUUCCCUGGUGUGGAGGCAGCCAGGGACCCAGGAUGCUCCGGACCUGUUACGUGCUCUGUUCCCAAGCUGGUCCCCUCUCCAGGGGCUGGCAGUCCCUGAGCUUUGAUGGCGGGGCCUUCCACCUUAAGGGCACAGGAGAGCUGACACGGGCCUUGCUGGUUCUCCGGCUGUGUGCCUGGCCCCCACUCGUCACUCACGGGCUGUUGGUGAGCAGUGAUCCUGAGGACCAGCCUGGAGGCUCCUCAUAGCCUGGCCCUGAGCCCUCGCUUCCUGUCACCCAGCUCCAGGCCUGGUCUCGGCGACUCCUGGGCUCCCGGCUCUCAGGCGCGUUUCUCCGAGCAUCCGUCUAUGGGCAGUUUGUGGCUGGUGAGACAGCAGAGGAGGUGAGGGGCUGCGUGCAGCAGCUGCGGACCCUCAGCCUCCGACCACUGCUGGCAGUGCCCACUGAGGAGGAGCCGGACUCUGCUGCCAAGAGUGGGUGAGUAGGGAGCCAGGGCCCAGGGAGGCUGGGAGGACUCAGGAAGGGGCUUUGCGGGUCGGGCCCUGACACCUGCUGGCUGGGCAGUGAGGCGUGGUAUGAGGGGAACCUCGGUGCUAUGCUGCGGUGUGUGGACCUGUCACGGGGCCUCCUGGAGCCCCCCAGCCUGGCUGAGGCCAGCCUCAUGCAGCUGAAGGUGACGGCGCUGACCAGCACUCGGCUCUGUAAGGAGCUAGCCUCGUGGGUCAGAAGGCCAGGAGCCUCCUUGGAGCUGAGCCCC